AGAAUUUGAUCUUGGUUCAGGAUGAACGCUGGCGGCGUGCUUAACACAUGCAAGUCGAACGGAGUUUUUAAACGGAAGUUUUCGGAUGGAAGUUUAAAAACUUAGUGGCGGACGGGUGAGUAACGCGUGGGUAACCUGCCUCAUACAGGGGGAUAACAGUUAGAAAUGACUGCUAACACCGCAUAAUAUAGCGAAACCGCAUGAUUUUUGCUAUCAAAAUAUUUUAUAGGUAUGAGAUGGGCCCGCGUCUGAUUAGCUAGUUGGUGGGGUAAAAGCCUACCAAGGCGACGAUCAGUAGCCGGCUUGAGAGAGUGACCGGCCACAUUGGGACUGAGACACGGCCCAAACUCCUACGGGAGGCAGCAGUGGGGAAUAUUGGACAAUGGGGGAAACCCUGAUCCAGCCGACGCCGCGUGAGUGAAGAAGUAUUUCGGUAUGUAAAGCUCUAUCAGCAGGGAAGAUAAUGACAGUACCUGACUAAGAAGCCCCGGCUAACUACGUGCCAGCCGCCGC
This 513-nucleotide ribosomal RNA is filed under the name uncultured bacterium. Its description in RNAcentral is "bacterial SSU rRNA". It matches the Rfam family "Bacterial small subunit ribosomal RNA", at positions 8 to 518 of the family's 1533-position model. The record is from RNAcentral.